UAGGGAAUCUUCCACAAUGGGCGAAAGUCUGAUGGAGCAACGCCGCGUGAGUGGAGAAGGGUUUCGGCUCGUAAACUCUGUUGUUAAAGAAGAACAUAUCUGAGAGUAACUGUUCAGGUAUUGACGGUAUUUAACCAGAAAGCCACGGCUAACUACGUGCCAG
Molecule: ribosomal RNA, 163 nt
Filed under: uncultured bacterium
Lineage: Bacteria
Description: partial 16S rRNA
Rfam family: Bacterial small subunit ribosomal RNA
Source: RNAcentral